Molecule: small RNA, 1600 nt
Filed under: Pongo abelii (Sumatran orangutan)
Lineage: Eukaryota; Metazoa; Chordata; Mammalia; Primates; Hominidae
Description: retained intron
Source: RNAcentral
GGAGCCUAGCGGCUCUCCCCGCGUCCAAGAUGGCGGCAGAAGCAGCUGGUGGGAAAUACAGAAGCACAGUCAGCAAAAGCAAAGACCCCUCGGGGCUGCUCAUCUCUGUGAUCAGGACUCUGUCUACUAGUGACGAUGUUGAAGACAGAGAAAAUGAAAAGGGUCGCCUUGAAGAAGCCUACGAGAAAUGUGACCGUGACCUGGAUGAAUUGAUUGUGCAGCACUACACAGAACUGACGACAGCCAUUCGCACAUACCAGAGCAUCACAGAGCGCAUCACUAACUCCCGAAAUAAAAUAAAGCAGGUAAAAGAGAACCUACUUUCAUGUAAGAUGCUGCUGCACUGCAAACGGGAUGAGCUUCGGAAACUAUGGAUUGAAGGAAUUGAGCAUAAACAUGUCCUGAACUUGUUGGAUGAAAUUGAGAAUAUCAAGCAAGUGCCUCAAAAGCUGGAACAGUGCAUGGCCAGCAAGCACUAUCUCAGUGCCACUGACAUGCUGGUGUCAGCAGUUGAGUCUUUGGAGGGCCCCCUGCUCCAGGUGGAAGGACUGAGUGACCUUCGACUAGAGCUUCACAGCAAGAAGAUGAACCUCCACUUGGUUCUGAUAGAUGAACUACACCGGCACCUGUACAUCAAAUCGACUAGCCGAGUUGUGCAGCGUAACAAGGAAAAAGGGAAAAUCAGCUCCCUUGUGAAAGAUGCUUCUGUUCCUCUGAUUGAUGUUACAAACCUCCCUACUCCUCGAAAAUUCCUUGAUACGUCUCACUAUUCUACUGCUGGAAGCUCAAGUGUGAGGGAGAUAAAUCUGCAGGACAUCAAGGAAGAUUUAGAAUUGGAUCCAGAGGAAAACAGCACCCUGUUUAUGGGUAUCCUCAUUAAGGGCUUGGCCAAACUGAAGAAGAUCCCAGAGACAGUUAAGGCAAUCAUAGAGCGCUUGGAGCAGGAGCUGAAGCAAAUUGUGAAGAGGUCUACAACCCAGGUGGCAGACAGUGGCUAUCAGCGUGGGGAGAACGUUACUGUGGAGAACCAACCAAGGUUGCUUCUAGAACUGCUGGAGUUACUGUUUGACAAGUUUAAUGCUGUAGCCACUGCACACUCUGUGGUCCUGGGAUACCUGCAGGACACUGUAGUGACUCCAUUGACUCAGCAGGAAGAUAUCAAACUGUAUGAUAUGGCAGAUGUAUGGGUGAAGAUCCAAGAUGUUCUACAGAUGCUGUUAACUGAGUACUUGGAUAUGAAAAAUACUCGUACGGCCUCUGAACCAUCAGCUCAACUAAGCUAUGCCAGCACUGGACGAGAGUUUGCAGCCUUUUUUGCCAAGAAGAAACCUCAAAGGCCAAAAAAUUCUCUUUUCAAGUUCGAAUCGUCCUCCCAUGCCAUCAGUAUGAGCGCCUAUCUGCGAGAACAGAGAAGGGAGCUCUAUAGUCGGAGUGGAGAACUGCAAGGGGGUCCUGAUGACAACUUAAUUGAAGGUGGAGGAACAAAAUUUGUCUGCAAACCUGGAGCCAGAAAUAUUACUGUCAUAUUCCACCCAUUACUAAGGUAAGUCAAGUGCUAUUAUGUACUUACUGAAGAUCAAUAUUUUCAUUAUUUAUGCUG